This 973-nucleotide ribosomal RNA is filed under the name uncultured bacterium. RNAcentral describes it as "bacterial SSU rRNA". It matches the Rfam family "Bacterial small subunit ribosomal RNA", at positions 391 to 1383 of the family's 1533-position model. The record is from RNAcentral.
CCGACGGUGAGGGAUGAAGGCCUCUGGGCUGUAAACCUCUUUUAUCAAGGAAGAAGAUCUGACGGUACUUGAUGAAUAAGCCACGGCUAAUUCCGUGCCAGCAGCCGCGGUAAUACGGGAGUGGCAAGCGUUAUCCGGAAUUAUUGGGCGUAAAGCGUCCGCAGGCGGCCCUUCAAGUCUGCUGUUAAAAAGUGGAGCUUAACUCCAUCAUGGCAGUGGAAACUGAGGGGCUUGAGUGUGGUAGGGGCAGAGGGAAUUCCCGGUGUAGCGGUGAAAUGCGUAGAUAUCGGGAAGAACACCAGUGGCGAAGGCGCUCUGCUGGGCCAUCACUGACGCUCAUGGACGAAAGCCAGGGGAGCGAAAGGGAUUAGAUACCCCUGUAGUCCUGGCCGUAAACGAUGAACACUAGGUGUCGGGGGAAUCGACCCCCUCGGUGUCGUAGCCAACGCGUUAAGUGUUCCGCCUGGGGAGUACGCACGCAAGUGUGAAACUCAAAGGAAUUGACGGGGGCCCGCACAAGCGGUGGAGUAUGUGGUUUAAUUCGAUGCAACGCGAAGAACCUUACCAGGGUUUGACAUCCUGCGAAUCUCUUGGAAACGAGAGAGUGCCUUCGGGAGCGCAGUGACAGGUGGUGCAUGGCUGUCGUCAGCUCGUGUCGUGAGAUGUUGGGUUAAGUCCCGCAACGAGCGCAACCCACGUCUUUAGUUGCCAGCAUUUAGUUGGGCACUCUAGAGAGACCGCCGGUGAUAAACCGGAGGAAGGUGUGGAUGACGUCAAGUCAUCAUGCCCCUUACAUCCUGGGCUACACACGUACUACAAUGCUACGGACAAAGGGCAGCAAGUUCGCGAGGACAAGCAAAUCCCAUAAACCGUGGCUCAGUUCAGAUCGUAGGCUGCAACUCGCCUACGUGAAGGAGGAAUCGCUAGUAAUCGCAGGGUCAGCAUACUGCGGUGAAUACGUUCCCGGGCCUUG